Molecule: ribosomal RNA, 493 nt
Filed under: uncultured bacterium
Lineage: Bacteria
Description: bacterial SSU rRNA
Rfam family: Bacterial small subunit ribosomal RNA
Source: RNAcentral
GAUGAACGCUAGCGGCAGGCCUAAUACAUGCAAGUCAAGGGGCCAGCAAUGGCACCGGCGCACGGGUGCGUAACACGUACACAACAUACCUUUAAGUGGGAGAUAGCAUCGGGAAACUGGUGGUAAUACCCCAUAAUAUUGCGAUGCGACAUCACAUUGCAAUUAAAGUUUCGACGCUUAAAGAUUGGUGUGCGUCCGAUUAGCUAGUUGGCGGGGUAACGGCCCACCAAGGCUACGAUCGGUAGGGGGUGUGAGAGCAUGACCCCCCACAUGGGUACUGAGACACGGACCCAACUCCUACGGGAGGCAGCAGUAAGGAAUAUUGGACAAUGGACGAAAGUCUGAUCCAGCCAUGCCGCGUGCAGGAUGAAGGCGCUCAGCGUUGUAAACUGCUUUUGGAUGGGAAUAAUAACCUCGACGUGUCGGGGCUUGAAGGUACCAUCAGAAUAAGCACCGGCUAACUCCGUGCCAGCAGCCGCGGUAAAGUAGACGU